UGUCGCAGGCUGGCGCAAGCUGGCGUGAGGAAAGUCGGGACAGCGCAGAGCACCAUACUUCCUAACGGGAAGGCGUUGGAGACAACGACAGCAAGUGCCACAGAAAAUUACCGCCCUGAGCUUGUCGAGGGGUAAGGGUGAAAACGCGAGGCAAGAGCUCACGCGUUGCCAUGGUGACACGGCAAUGAGGUAAACCUUAUGGGCUGCAAGACCAAAUAUACCGGCGUGUAGAGACGUCAUCUUAUGGCGUCUAUACGAAGAAUCGCUCGUUCAAGCCGGGAGGGUAGGUUGCUAAAGCCUGAUGGCGACGUCAGGAUUAGAGAAAUGACAAUCAAAUACAGAAUCCCGCUUAUGCCUU
Molecule: RNase P RNA, 358 nt
Filed under: bovine gut metagenome
Description: Bacterial RNase P class A
Rfam family: Bacterial RNase P class A
About the family: Ribonuclease P (RNase P) is a ubiquitous endoribonuclease, found in archaea, bacteria and eukarya as well as chloroplasts and mitochondria.
Source: RNAcentral